This 428-nucleotide ribosomal RNA is filed under the name uncultured bacterium. RNAcentral describes it as "bacterial SSU rRNA". It matches the Rfam family "Bacterial small subunit ribosomal RNA", at positions 42 to 497 of the family's 1533-position model. The record is from RNAcentral.
AGAUGCUUUACACAUGCAAGUCGUACGGGAGUUUUUAACUCUAGUGGCGGACGGGUGAGUAACACGUAAGAAUUUGCCUUUAGGAGGGGGAUAACAUCGUCAGAAAUGAUUCGAGAAAUUGAUGCUAAUACCCCAUAUGCUUUCGAGUGAAAUGGAGUUUUCCGCCUAAAGAGAAGCUUGCGGCUGAUUAGCUUGUUGGUGAGGUAAUGGCUUACCAAGGCGACGAUCAGUAUCUGGUUUGAGAGGAUGAUCAGACACACUGGAACUGAGACACGGUCCAGACUCCUACGGGAGGCAGCAGUGGGGAAUUUUCCGCAAUGGGCGAAAGCCUGACGGAGCAAUCUCGCGUGAGGGAUGACUGCCUAUGGGUUGUAAACCUCUUUUUUCAGGGAGGAAUAAAUGACGUUACCUGAAGAAUAAGCAUCGGC